This 197-nucleotide ribosomal RNA is filed under the name uncultured bacterium. RNAcentral's name for it is "partial 16S ribosomal RNA". It matches the Rfam family "Bacterial small subunit ribosomal RNA", at positions 328 to 539 of the family's 1533-position model. The record is from RNAcentral.
ACGCUCGACACCUACGGGAGGAGCAGUGGGGAAUAUUGCACAAUGGGGGAAACCCUGAUGCAGCGACGCCGCGUGAGCGAAGAAGUAUUUCGGUAUGUAAAGCUCUAUCAGCAGGGAAGAAACUGACGGUACCUGACUAAGAAGCACCGGCUAAAUACGUGCCAGCAGCCGAGGUAAUCUGAGCGGGCUGGCAAGGC